AAAGAAACUAACAAGGAUUCCCUUAGUAACUGCGAGUGAAGAGGGAAGAGCUCAAAUUUAAAAUCUGGCAGUGUUUUGCUGUCCGAGUUGUAAUCUAGAGAAGUGCUGCCCGUGCUGGACCAUGUACAAGUCUCCUGGAAUGGAGCGUCACAGAGGGUGAGAAUCCCGUCUUUGACAUGGACUACCAGUGCAUUUGUGGUGUGCUCUCAAAGAGUCGAGUUGUUUGGGAAUGCAGCUCUAAAUGGGUGGUAAACUCCAUCUAAAGCUAAAUAUUGGCGAGAGACCGAUAGCGAACAAGUACCGUGAGGGAAAGAUGAAAAGAACUUUGGAAAGAGAGUUAAACAGUAUGUGAAAUUGUUGAAAGGGAAACGCUUAAAGUCAGUCGUGUCGGCCAGGGAUCAACUCAGCUUUCUCUGCUGGGUGUACUUCCUGAUCUGAUGGGCCAACAUCAGUUUUGACUGCUGGAGAAGGAUAGAGGGAAUGUGGCACCUUCGGGUGUGUUAUAGCUCUUUGUCAGAUGCAGUGGUUGGGACUGAGGAAAGCAGCAUGCCGCAAGGCCGGGUCGUUCGACCACGUUCAUGCUGAGGAUGUUGGCAUAAUGGCUUUAAUCGACCCGUCUUGA
Molecule: ribosomal RNA, 622 nt
Filed under: Amanita regalis
Lineage: Eukaryota; Fungi; Basidiomycota; Agaricomycetes; Agaricales; Amanitaceae
Description: LSU rRNA
Rfam family: Eukaryotic large subunit ribosomal RNA
Source: RNAcentral